This 497-nucleotide ribosomal RNA is filed under the name uncultured bacterium. Its description in RNAcentral is "partial 16S ribosomal RNA". It matches the Rfam family "Bacterial small subunit ribosomal RNA", at positions 28 to 507 of the family's 1533-position model. The record is from RNAcentral.
GACGAACGCUGGCGGCGUGCCUAAUACAUGCAAGUUGAGCGCUGAAGGUUGGUACUUGUACCAACUGGAUGAGCAGCGAACGGGCGAGUAACGCGUGGGGAAUCUGCCUUUGAGCGGGGGACAACAUUUGGAAACGAAUGCUAAUACCGCAUAAAAACUUUAAACACAAGUUUUAAGUUUGAAAGAUGCAAUUGCAUCACUCAAAGAUGAUCCCGCGUUGUAUUAGCUAGUUGGUGAGGUAAAGGCUCACCAAGGCGAUGAUACAUAGCCGACCUGAGAGGGUGAUCGGCCACAUUGGGACUGAGACACGGCCCAAACUCCUACGGGAGGCAGCAGUAGGGAAUCUUCGGCAAUGGACGAAAGUCUGACCGAGCAACGCCGCGUGAGUGAAGAAGGUUUUCGGAUCGUAAAACUCUGUUGGUAGAGAAGAACGUUGGUGAGAGUGGAAAGCUCAUCAAGUGACGGUAACUACACAGAAAGGGACGGCUAACUACGUG